GUGCGCUACCGUCACACACCGGGUACCUAAUGCAAAUAGACAGGACAGGAGUAGGAUAGGCGCGCAGCAAAUGUUAUUGCUACCAUACCGGAGCGUUGAACAACCCAGAAUCAGGAGCGUUGAAGCGAUCGAUUUCCCAACCGCUGGAAACUGAAAUUUGGAACAUCAUCAUGUGCAGUCUGGAGGGAGCUUUUUGCUCUUGUUGCUUUUGUUCCAUGGAGGGUUCAAUCCAAGAGGAAAUUCUUUUUUUCCUCCGACAGGAUCCGCGUGUCUCCCUUAAAGAGACAAAAAUCUCUAGAGUUCCAAAUAGCAGAACUUAUUUGGAAUAUUUCAAUUGUGAUGCUCUCACUCUGCCUUUGAGAACACCGCAGAAAGAAGACUGUUCCUUGAAAGUUCCUUGGAGACCAUUGAAGCUGUUCUAAACUUAUUUGGAAUUUUUCAAUUGUGAUGCUCUCACUCUUCCAUUGAGAACACCGCAGAAAGAAGACUGUUCCUAGAAAGUUUCAGUAAAUCUCACCAGCGGCUUAUGAAAUAAUUCGACUGAGUCUCUUCAUCAACUUAAACAGAGAGGAUUCAAUUUAAAGGAGACCAUUGAAGCUGUUCUAAACAUCGACAGAAUGAUUAGGAUGCAGCUAGAAUGACAUCAAAGAAGACUCGGAGGUGCAAAAAUAUGGAGGCAGUGAAUUCUUUCGGAUUUCAGCGAGGACAGCAUCAAUAUAAGAAUUCAGUUUUGGAUGAUUCCAUGCUGAAAAAAGCUAUGGAUCUUAUAGGAAGUGUCAAACUGGAAAUGCUCCAUCAACAAUCUCCAGCAAGAUGCUUUUUCAAGUACCUUCGCUUGGGUGGAAUGAAUUUAAAAAUGCUUCAGGGGCGCAAAAUGACUUCGCAGAGCUGAGAUUCUGACUUAUCAAUAAAUGCACCAAAGUUCAACUCCUAUUUUCAAAUCUUUGGUGCUUUCUAUGGACUUAAAGAUGUGUUAAAUGUGGAUUAUAUCCUUAACGUAAGUUCCAAAGUAUUUGCUACUAUAUUAUUGUAUUUUAUGUUCAAAUUUUGAACAGAAGGAUCAGUCUCUAGAACCUGGCAUUGCGGAGGGUCUUAAAUGGACUGCAGGGACGUAAGCUGAGAGGAACCAAGUCAGAUCAGCUGUGGCCUUUCAUAAGACAAUUUCAUUCUGUUUGGGUAGAACGGUAGUGUGGAUUUUUCUAAAAAUUUUAGGCGAUUUCAUCUGUGACAUGAAGCAAAUUCUCAAGAGGACCUGUAAAACCAAUCUCCUGUAAAAAAAUAAAUUGUAUGAUGAAAUUUGCAAUGGCUAUUACGACUUGAUUCUUUUCUUCUUGAUGCGGUCCAAAUGAUGUUGGAUUACUAAGAAUUUUGCUUGUUUGGUUUUUCUUUUUAACAUUGAACUUAUUCAGGGAAGGCCAGCAUCAUGUAGGUUUUGUAAAGUUAUCUUUUUUUUCUCUCACGAUUUUGUUAUAGAUUUAUUGCUCUCUGGAAAUUUGCAUAGAUAAUUUUGUGUCGUUAUUUAAAAAAAAUAAAAUUCAAUUUUAUAA
This is a non-coding RNA of Bemisia tabaci, 1547 nucleotides long. NCBI's taxonomy places the organism in Eukaryota, Metazoa, Arthropoda, Insecta, Hemiptera, Aleyrodidae. The record is from RefSeq and is a predicted model, not a curated record.